AAAACUUUGCAAUGCGGGAAACCGUGACAGGGGAACUCCGAGUGCCCGUAAAAUCGGGCUGUCCAUCAGUUUAAAUAACUGGUGAAGAAAGGGCCGGGCAAGACCGGUGCCAGCCGCCGCGGUAAUACCGGCGGCUCGAGUGGUGGCCACUAUUACUGGGCUUAAAGCGUUCGUAGCUGGUUUGUUAAGUCUCUGGGGAAAUCUUCCGGCUCAACCGGAAGGCGUCUCAGGGAUACUGGCAGACUAGGGACCGGGAGAGGUGAGGGGUACUCCAGGGGUAGGAGUGAAAUCCUGUAAUCCUUGGGGGACCACCUGUGGCGAAGGCGCCUCACCAGAACGGCUCCGACAGUGAGGGACGAAAGCUGGGGGAGCAAACCGG
This 379-nucleotide ribosomal RNA is filed under the name uncultured archaeon. RNAcentral's name for it is "bacterial SSU rRNA". It matches the Rfam family "Archaeal small subunit ribosomal RNA", at positions 343 to 727 of the family's 1478-position model. The record is from RNAcentral.